GCAUGAUGGCGAUGUAUAAUGGCAGCAUGCCACUCCUCCUGUGCUGCCCAUGUAACCCUCUCAACCUCUACUUCCCCUACAUCCUGAAAAUGGAGGAGCAGGCUGUAGAAAUAAAUUGGCCUGGGUGCUGAAAGAGAUGUAAGUUUUAGCUUUAUUUUAUAAGGCUAUCCUAACUAUAAGAUAAGGCCAGGGACUAAUGAAAG
This is a non-coding RNA of Pelobates cultripes (western spadefoot toad), 203 nucleotides long. The record is from the annotation of a GenBank genome assembly. Lineage: Eukaryota; Metazoa; Chordata; Amphibia; Anura; Pelobatidae.